CCCCUCCAAGGCCUCAGCCAUUAGAUGCAAACAUUGGUCUGAGCGGUUACAAAUUGAGGAAAAACACAUUUGCAACUGACUUCAAUUCCUGCCUGACACGCGAGCUAGUUUCAAACAAAC
This 120-nucleotide small nucleolar RNA is filed under the name Echinops telfairi (small Madagascar hedgehog). RNAcentral describes it as "Small nucleolar RNA SNORA61 (ENSETEG00000025692.1)". Lineage: Eukaryota; Metazoa; Chordata; Mammalia; Afrosoricida; Tenrecidae. The record is from RNAcentral.